UAAUAUAAGGACCAAAAUCACAAUAAGCUAAUAAGAUAGGAACUAAAACUAUCAUUUCCCGAUUUUUUUUCAAUGAAACAAAAAAAAUGUUGUCAAUAGAAUGAUUGAAGAAUCACAGAGUGUAACUUAUUUUAGUUGUCCAGAUGCAUUUUUAAAGUGAUACGUUUUGUAUCUAAAGUCAUGUGGCCAAAAACGCUACACGCUCCAUAGCCUCUCACCGCAUUUUUAGUCAUUCUUUGCCGCCCAAGUAUUUGCGUACCCUUUGCCGCCUCGAGAAACUUCUUUGCCGCCUUUUAUGGUUUAACUUAUCUACCGUUAAAUACCUAUUCCUAAAUUAAUCUCAAUCGUCCAUUCCUCCCUAACCCUCAAUAAAUUGCAAUUUGAUUCUGCUUUUCAUUUUAAUCACUAAAACCUCGUCCUACCGUUCGUCGAAUGGCUGGUAAACGGUGGUAGCUGUUUUUGCACCGUCGACGGUUCACGUAGAUGUUGUCGUUCUGAAGCUUUUGGCAGAGAUUCAUGGAUAUGGACUAAUUGCUUGAUCAACCGUUUCGAGGAUUGUACCGUUAGCUAUGAGAGAGUUAUCUAUCCGCAUAGAGCUGCGACGCUAAUGAAUUGGUAUCCUAUUUGCUACAAAUCAAACGGAUUGGAUUGCUGAUCUUUCAAUGCUGCAAUUUCAUCUAUGAAGGGCAUCUAAGGUUCUAAUUGUUUUAUUUAAUGUCUAUGUUUAUGUGAAUAAUUUAUAUACACCAGUAGUUUUCUAUUUAUGCUUGCUUAUGUAUGGGAGGAUGAAAGAUUGAGUCUGUAACGAUGUAUCGGGGUAUGAGAGGAAAAAGUGAGGUAUUUUAUUGUUCAUGUUACCAGGCCUUUGCCAUGUUGGGUGCGCUCGCAUGGCAGGUCACGAGUACCUAAUAAACGUAUUUAUUUUUGGCGUCUGAGGGGAGAUGGUACGGGGUUUUGCCCGGCUCUCCUCUCUCUGUGUCGUGUCUCUUUAUAUUUUU
Long non-coding RNA from Solanum stenotomum, 998 nucleotides. RefSeq lists it as uncharacterized. The transcript has 2 exons. NCBI's taxonomy places the organism in Eukaryota, Viridiplantae, Streptophyta, Magnoliopsida, Solanales, Solanaceae. The record is from RefSeq and is a predicted model, not a curated record.